RNAcentral lists this ribosomal RNA (517 nucleotides) under Parhippolyte misticia. Its description in RNAcentral is "partial large subunit ribosomal RNA". It matches the Rfam family "Bacterial large subunit ribosomal RNA", at positions 1831 to 2597 of the family's 2925-position model. The record is from RNAcentral. Lineage: Eukaryota; Metazoa; Arthropoda; Malacostraca; Decapoda; Barbouriidae.
GUCUGGGUGUAAAUAUGCUCAGUCUGACCUGCCCGCUGACAAUACGUUGUUGAAGAGCCGCGGUAUCUGUAACCGUGCGAAGGUAGCAUAAUAAUUUGUCUUUUAAUUGAAGGCUGGAAUGAAUGGUCGAACGAGAAGCCAGCUGUCUCUUUAGUGAUAAUUGAAUUUUACUUUUAAGUGAAAAGGCUUAAAUGCCACGAGGGGACGAUAAGACCCUAUAAAGCUUCACGAUUACUUUUGUUGUUCCCGAAUUUGAGGUGUAAGGGAGGCAGGUAUGGGUGUCGUUGCGUUGGGGCGACGAGAAUAUAAAAUAGUAACUGUUCUUGGAAUGAAACGGCUGUGACCGGUUGAGUUGACCCUUUAUUAAGGAUCACAAGAUCAAGUUACUUUAGGGAUAACAGCGUUAUUUCCUUUGAGAGUUCAUAUCGACAGGGUAAGUUGCGACCUCGAUGUUGAAUUAAGGUCUCAUCCAGGUGCAGAAGCUUGGACGGUAGGUCUGUUCGACCUUUAAAACUUU